CUGACACAGGGAGGUAGUGACGAUAAAUAACAAUGCCGGGCUUUCUAAGUCUGGCAAUUGGAAUGAGAACAAUUUAAAUCCCUUAACGAGGAUCAAUUGGAGGGCAAGUCUGGUGCCAGCAGCCGCGGUAAUUCCAGCUCCAAUAGCGUAUAUUAAAGUUGUUGCAGUUAAAAAGCUCGUAGUUGGAUUUCUGGUCGGAGCGAUCGGUCCGCCUCAUUCGGGGUGUGUACUUUGUGUCGUCUCCAGCCAUCCUUGAGGCGAGCUGUCCUGGCAUUGAGUUGUUGGGGCAGGGAACCUCAUCUUUUACUGUGAAAAAAUUAGAGUGUUUAAAGCAGGCUUACGCCGUUGAAUACAUUAGCAUGGAAUAAUAAGAUAGGACUUUGGUGGUCUAUUUGUUGGUUUGCACACCGAAGUAAUGAUUAAGAGGGACAGUUGGGGGU
RNAcentral lists this ribosomal RNA (440 nucleotides) under uncultured eukaryote. RNAcentral's name for it is "SSU rRNA". It matches the Rfam family "Eukaryotic small subunit ribosomal RNA", at positions 451 to 889 of the family's 1831-position model. The record is from RNAcentral.